CGUCUAGGUGGCCCGGCAAGUCAGAUGUGAAAUCCCUCGGCUCAACCGAGGACGUGCAUUUGAAACUGCUAGGCUUGAGUGUUGGAGGGGGCAGCGGAAUUCCCGGUGUAGAGGUGAAAUUCGUAGAUAUCGGGAGGAACACCAGUGGCGAAGGCGGCUGCCUGGCCAAACACUGACACUGAAGCGCGAAAGCGUGGGGAGCAAACA
This 207-nucleotide ribosomal RNA is filed under the name uncultured bacterium. Its description in RNAcentral is "partial 16S ribosomal RNA". It matches the Rfam family "Bacterial small subunit ribosomal RNA", at positions 568 to 774 of the family's 1533-position model. The record is from RNAcentral.